Molecule: ribosomal RNA, 377 nt
Filed under: uncultured euryarchaeote
Lineage: Archaea; Methanobacteriati; Methanobacteriota
Description: bacterial SSU rRNA
Rfam family: Archaeal small subunit ribosomal RNA
Source: RNAcentral
UGGGUCUAAACAUCCGUAGCUUGCUUAAUAAGUUUCCUGUGAAAUUCUGUCUCUUAAGGGCAGAGCGCGCAGGAAGUACUGUUGAGCUAGAGACUGGAAGACGUGAAAAGUACGUUCGAAGUAGCGGUAAAAUGCGUUAAUCUUGAGCGGACUCACAAUAGCGAAGGCAUUUCACGAGGACAGUUCUGACAGUAAGGGAUGAAGGCUAGGGGCGCGAAAGGGAUUAGAUACCCCUGUAGUCCUAGCAGUAAACACUGUACACUAAACAUCAGUACCUCCUCGAGAGGCAUUGGUGCUGUAGCGAAGGCGAAGAGUGUACUACCUGGGAAGUAUAGUCGCAAGGCCGAAACUUAAAGGAAUUGGCGGGGGAGCACAAG